GUGGGGAAUAUUGGGCAAUGGGCGCAAGCCUGACCCAGCAACGCCGCGUGAGGGAAGAAGGUUUUCGGAUUGUAAACCUCUGUCGCAAGGGACGAAGAAGUGACGGUACCUUGUGAGGAAGCCCCGGCUAACUACGUGCCAGCAGCCGCGGUAAUACGUAGGGGGCGAGCGUUGUCCGGAAUUACUGGGCGUAAAGGGUGCGUAGGCGGUUGCUUAAGUUGGAUGUGAAAUACCCGGGCUUAACUUGGGGGGUGCAUUCAAAACUGGGCAACUAGAGUUCAGGAGAGGGAAGCGGAAUUCCUAGUGUAGCGGUGAAGUGCGUAGAUAUUAGGAGGAACACCAGUGGCGAAGGCGGCUUUCUGGACUGUAACUGACGCUGAGGCACGAAAGCGUGGGGAGCAAACAGGAUUAGAAACCCCGGUAGUCC
RNAcentral lists this ribosomal RNA (427 nucleotides) under uncultured bacterium. Its description in RNAcentral is "partial 16S ribosomal RNA". It matches the Rfam family "Bacterial small subunit ribosomal RNA", at positions 354 to 796 of the family's 1533-position model. The record is from RNAcentral.